GAUGAAGAACGCAGCGAAAUGCGAUAAGUAAUGUGAAUUGCAGAAUUCAGUGAAUCAUCGAAUCUUUGAACGCACUUUGCACCCUUUGGUAUUCCGAAGGGUAUGCUCGUUUGAGUGUCAUUGUACUCUCACACUUCUAAUUCCUUUCGGGAUUGGGAGCGGUGGACUUGGGUGUUGCUGCUUUAGUUGUGGCUCACCUCAAAUAAGUUAGUGCAACUCUUGGUUGGACAUAGUACGGCGUGAUAAGUGUCUUCGCCGGCGCCUCUGUAAGGAGGGUGGCCGAUCGGGAGCUCCGUGCUUCAAACCGUCUUCGGACAAUCUUUGACAACUUGACCUCAAAUCGAGUAGGACUACCCGCUGAACUUAAGCAUAUCAAUAAGCGGAGGA
RNAcentral lists this unclassified non-coding RNA (387 nucleotides) under soil metagenome. RNAcentral describes it as "partial contains 5.8S ribosomal RNA, internal transcribed spacer 2, and large subunit ribosomal RNA". The stretch from base 1 to 120 matches the Rfam family "5.8S ribosomal RNA", at positions 35 to 154 of the family's 154-position model. The record is from RNAcentral.